Long non-coding RNA from Sarcophilus harrisii (Tasmanian devil), 1624 nucleotides. RefSeq lists it as uncharacterized. Lineage: Eukaryota; Metazoa; Chordata; Mammalia; Dasyuromorphia; Dasyuridae. The record is from RefSeq and is a predicted model, not a curated record. The transcript has 3 exons.
UGACAGUUGGAAUAAAACUCAGCAACCAUUUAGUCUGACUCACUUACCUGCUAUAACACACCCAACAAGCCAUCUAGUCUCUAAUUGAAGAUCUCCAUGGAAAGGGAACUCACUACCUGUCAAGGAAGGCUACUCUGCAUUUGAACAGUUGUCACUGUUAGAAGGUUUUCCCUAUAUCAAACCUACACUGGCCUCUUUGAAACUUCUACUCACUGCUCCUGAUUCUGAUCCCUGGGUCAAAGACACGUGGUCUGGACCACUCAUAACACUUCCUGCAAGCAAAUCAUUACUGGUAAUAUGUUGCAGUUAUUUAAACCCACCAUGUAGUCCACUGCUAUUUGUGCCAUUUACAAUUUUGAUUCUUCAGAUUGCUGUAUUCCAUGAUUCACAGUGAUCAUCACUAGGUAAAUACUGAAAUAUGCUCCUGUCAGGAAAUAAGCUUAAGAUCAAUGAAAAUGCAGCACAAAUAAGAAUGAAUUGGAAUGAAAUAGGAAUAACAAAUAUGACAAAUACAGAGAAGAAUACCGAUUUCAUUUAUUUAAGAAUUUGUGAUAUAUAAUAAAAUAAGACCCCAAACUCCUGCUCUUCCCUGAUAGGAACUGGACAUGCCUGUCCCCAUUGAAUAAUUCUGUAAAUCAAUUAGCAGUUCAGGAGACAGCAUCACUAUCUUCAAAUAUAUGAAGAGUAGUUAGGUAAAAGAGGAUUUAGACAAUUUAAUUAGCCUCUAAGAAUUAAUUAAAACCAAUGGACAAAUAUUACAGAGAACUAGAUUUUAGCUAUGUUAAAUAUGUUAAAUUUUAAUGUUAAAGUUAUCUGAAAAUAGAGUAGAUUGCCUUGAUUACAGUGAACUCUCCUUAACUAAAUUUCCUAACAGGACUAUUGCUUGUAUGUUUCAGAUCAAAGCUGGACUUUUCUGAGAUCUCACCUAAUUUGAAGAAUAAAAUUUUAUUCUAGUGUGGAAGGGGCGAGAAAAUCAUAGAAUCUUGAUAAAUCCUUAGAUUAUUUAGGGUCCUGUGCUAGUCCUGCUUGUACAAAGAAAUAUAAGAUAUGAUCCUCAUUUUCAAUCAGCUUAUAGUCAUUACCGUAGAUAGAACACGAAAGGUUCCCCUUGUCCUUUCUGCAGCUUUUAUGUAUUGUUGACCACCAGAUUCUACUGGAUACCCUUUGAUUCUAAGAUAAUAUACUUUCUUAAUUCUUCCUCUGCCUUCAUUUUUACCUCAAUUGAUAAUUUUCAUUCAUUUCAUUCAUUUUUGUACAUAGGAUGCAAAAAGGCAUAAAUAAAAAUUAUUUAUUUGGAGAAAAAAGAAAAGAGACAAAAAACAAAUAACCAAACUACUGUCUGUUAUUGAUGUUACCUUCAGAAUGGUAAAAGAAAGGAUUGAUUAUGGAAAGUAGGGGAGAAUGCAAGCCUUAAGAGCAUGGACUUUUUAGAUAGACAAUGGGAGAUACUGAAGAAAUAAAGAAGUGAUGUCACAGGAUACAAGAUGUGACACAAGAAAUGGAAGUCAGGUAUGUUGGGAUCUAUUCUGUUCAGUUUCUCAAGCCACUAUGUGUACAAGUUCUUAUUCUUCUAUAUCCCUAUCAAUAAAUACUCCCUUCCUCAGAGGGAUACUUUAAAUGGCAU